UUGUCCAAAUUUUUUUUCACAUCAAUUUUUUUCCCCUCAUUUCUUAUUUGGUUUCUGUUUCCUAAUUCGAUUUUCAUUUCCUUAUUCGGUUUCUAUUUCCUUAUUCGAUUUUCAUUUCCUUAUUCGCUUUCUAUUUCCUUAUUGGGUUUCUAUUUCCUUAUUCGGUUUCUAUUUCCUUAUUCGAUUUUCAUUUUCUUAUUCGGUUUCUAUUUCCUUAUUCGAUUUUCAUUUCCUUAUUUGCUUUCUAUUUCCCUAUUGGGUUCCCCUAUUUCCUUAUUCGGUUUCUAUUUCCUUAUUCAAUUUUCCUUUCCUUAUUCGGUUUCUAUUUCCUUAUUCGAUUUUUAUUUCCUUAUUCGGUUUCUAUUUUCUUAUUCAAUUUUCAUUUCCUUAUUCUGUUUAUAUUUCCUUAUUCGGUUUCUAUUUUCUUAUUCGGUUUCUAUUCCCUUAUUCGAUUUUCAUUUCCUUAUUGGGUUUCUAUUUCCUUAUUCUGUUUUCAUUUCCUAAUUCGGUUUCUAUUUCCUUAUUCGGUUUCUAUUUCCUUAUUUGGUUUCUAUUUCCUUAUUCGGUUUCUAUUUCCUUAUUCGAUUU
This 588-nucleotide long non-coding RNA is filed under the name Mytilus galloprovincialis (Mediterranean mussel). Lineage: Eukaryota; Metazoa; Mollusca; Bivalvia; Mytilida; Mytilidae. The record is from RNAcentral.